GGUAUGAAGAUGAUGAGAAUUAGGAAGCCGCCCUUCCUGGAGACCCUCUAAAAUAGACUUACCCAAAUGGAAUAUGAUGACAAAUUCAACAUUUCCAAGGCGCUACAAUAGGAGUCAUUACCAGAAACCCUACAAUAACAACCUCCGGGAAACCCUAGCACAGAAACCAUGAUGACAGAUAUCCCCAAAGACUUUACAGGAACAAACCAUCCCAAACAGAACUUCCCAAUGGUAUCCAAGUCCUUAAAAUAAGCCAUUCCCAGGGAAUUGACAUUCUCAAAGUUUUCCCAAGACCCUAACAUGAAAUCUGACCUUUGCAGAAGCCCUCGGAUGGUGGCCCUUGCAUGCUUCAGUUCAUGAUGUUGGAGACUAUUUCCCCACCCUUGCGGAAAAACCUUCUCUCUGUGCCAUGCAGCUACUGCCAGGGAUGGAGGAUGGCGGGAAUUGGCAACUAAAGACUGUCCUCCUACCCUCUUCAGUGUGUCCUUCAGCAAUAUGAAGUUAAAACCAGUCUUGCUCUGUCCCCAGGCUGGAGUGCAG
This 540-nucleotide long non-coding RNA is filed under the name Homo sapiens (human). Its description in RNAcentral is "HSALNT0398493". Lineage: Eukaryota; Metazoa; Chordata; Mammalia; Primates; Hominidae. The record is from RNAcentral.